Molecule: long non-coding RNA, 548 nt
Organism: Thalassophryne amazonica
Lineage: Eukaryota; Metazoa; Chordata; Actinopteri; Batrachoidiformes; Batrachoididae
Exons: 3
Source: RefSeq, a predicted model, not a curated record
UGAAAUAGUGAAGGAUGAGGGAAAUCUGUGCUCACAUUAAAAAAAAAAAACAUGACUCUUGGUCUGUGCACGGAGCAUUGCUUCAUGGAGGGAUAUGUGGGACGAUGUACUAAAUUGUGCACUCUUAACUGCUAACUGAGUCACUUAAGAAGGUUUAUGAUACGUUUUUUUUUUUGUUUUGUUUUGUUUUUUUUAAACUGGAGUUAAAUAGGGUCAUGUGCAGCUGUUGUACGGUGCAGCUGUGUCCACAAUCUGAUGUUUAGUUUGGACUUGAAAUGAUCAUUAUUGCAAAUUUAUAUUGCCCAAAUUAGAAACUUUACAUGAUUGAGUUCUCUUCACUCUUAAAUUGAGGUGUAAGGUGAACCCUCUUGCAGCUCGGGUCGAAGUUCAACAGACCUGAACUUUCUCUCUAAAGCAUCAGUGCCGGACACACAUGCACGGUAAUAUCAGAGGCACAAAGAUUUUCCACGAUAAUGGGAUUGUCCAAUCAGAGGACAAACAGUAACAGAUGUUGUACAUUAGUGGAUUAUUGCACAGUGUCUUUUAUA